GAUGAACGCUGGCGGCGUGCCUAAUACAUGCAAGUCGAGCGAACGGACGAGAAGCUUGCUUCUCUGAUGUUAGCGGCGGACGGGUGAGUAACACGUGGAUAACCUACCUAUAAGACUGGGAUAACUUCGGGAAACCGGAGCUAAUACCGGAUGAUAUUUUGAACCGCAUGGUUCAAAAGUGAAAGACGGUCUUGCUGCCACUUAUAGAUGGAUCCGCGCUGCAUUAGCUAGUUGGUAAGGUAACGGCUUACCAAGGCAACGAUGCAUAGCCGACCUGAGAGGGUGAUCGGCCACACUGGAACUGAGACACGGUCCGGACUCCUACGGGAGGCAGCAGUAGGGAAUCUUCCGCAAUGGGCGAAAGCCUGACGGAGCAACGCCGCGUGAGUGAUGAAGGUCUUCGGAUCGUAAAACUCUGUUAUUAGGGAAGAACAUAUGUGUAAGUAACUGUGCACAUCUUGACGGUACCUAAUCAGAAAGCCACGGCUAACUACGUG
RNAcentral lists this ribosomal RNA (497 nucleotides) under uncultured bacterium. RNAcentral's name for it is "partial 16S ribosomal RNA". It matches the Rfam family "Bacterial small subunit ribosomal RNA", at positions 28 to 507 of the family's 1533-position model. The record is from RNAcentral.